RNAcentral lists this ribosomal RNA (765 nucleotides) under uncultured Streptococcus sp. RNAcentral's name for it is "bacterial SSU rRNA". It matches the Rfam family "Bacterial small subunit ribosomal RNA", at positions 28 to 776 of the family's 1533-position model. The record is from RNAcentral. Lineage: Bacteria; Bacillati; Bacillota; Bacilli; Lactobacillales; Streptococcaceae.
GACGAACGCUGGCGGCGUGCCUAAUACAUGCAAGUAGAACGCUGAAGCUUGGUGCUUGCACCGAGCGGAUGAGUUGCGAACGGGUGAGUAACGCGUAGGUAACCUGCCUGGUAGCGGGGGAUAACUAUUGAAAACGAUAGCUAAUACCGCAUAACAGUAGAUGUUGCAUGACAUUUGCUUAAAAGGUGCAAUUGCAUCACUACCAGAUGGACCUGCGUUGUAUUAGCUAGUUGGUGGGGUAACGGCUCACCAAGGCGACGAUACAUAGCCGACCUGAGAGGGUGAUCGGCCACACUGGGACUGAGACACGGCCCAGACUCCUACGGGAGGCAGCAGUAGGGAAUCUUCGGCAAUGGACGGAAGUCUGACCGAGCAACGCCGCGUGAGUGAAGAAGGUUUUCGGAUCGUAAAGCUCUGUUGUAAGAGAAGAACGAGUGUGAGAGUGGAAAGUUCACGCUGUGACGGUAUCUUACCAGAAAGGGACGGCUAACUACGUGCCAGCAGCCGCGGUAAUACGUAGGUCCCGAGCGUUGUCCGGAUUUAUUGGGCGUAAAGCGAGCGCAGGCGGUUAGAUAAGUCUGAAGUUAAAGGCUGUGGCUUAACCAUAGUACGCUUUGGAAACUGUUUAACUUGAGUGCAAGAGGGGAGAGUGGAAUUCCAUGUGUAGCGGUGAAAUGCGUAGAUAUAUGGAGGAACACCGGUGGCGAAAGCGGCUCUCUGGCUUGUAACUGACGCUGAGGCUCGAAAGCGUGGGGAGCAAACAGG